UAGGAGUUAGUUUAUACUAUAGAAUAGUUGACUGUUAAUCAACAGGUUUUUCCCCUAG
Molecule: transfer RNA, 58 nt
Filed under: Ophidascaris sp. CYZ-2020
Lineage: Eukaryota; Metazoa; Nematoda; Chromadorea; Rhabditida; Anisakidae
Description: tRNA-Asn
Source: RNAcentral